Molecule: ribosomal RNA, 253 nt
Filed under: uncultured bacterium
Lineage: Bacteria
Description: partial 16S ribosomal RNA
Rfam family: Bacterial small subunit ribosomal RNA
Source: RNAcentral
UACGAAGGGGGCUAGCGUUGUUCGGAAUUACUGGGCGUAAAGGGCGCGUAGGCGGUCCCUCAAGUCAGGCGUGAAAGUCCUGGGCUCAACCUGGGAACUGCGCUUGAUACGGCAGAGCUAGAGGAUGGAAGAGGCUCGCGGAAUUCCCAGUGUAGAGGUGAAAUUCGUAGAUAUUCGCAAGAACACCAGUGGCGAAGGCGGCUCACUGGCCCGAUACUGACGCUGAUGCACGAAAGCGUGGGGAGCAAACAGG